UCGAAGGCUGCUAAACAUAGACUGUGGCCCUUCGGAAGGCAGUCAAAGCAAUAGACAGACCUGAAAUAAAUGGAUGAGAGCAGCAUGACUGGGGCUGACAGGAAGUGAAGACUGGAGACUUCAAAUACAAACAUUAUGAAAAACAAGCAACAUCUGCAAACAGAAUAGAAGAGAAGACAUAAUGCUGAGGACCUUCUAUAUUUCUCAGUCCAUCUGAUAUGUGGCUCUGAACUCCACUAACAUCCAACUUCUGUUCUUUUUCUCUGAGAUGCUGUGGACAUUCAGGUAGUUGGGACAAGAGAGAAUGUGCAGAAAAUGGUAAUACUAUAUCCUGAGAUCCCCAGAAGACUGAACUGCCCUUCUGAGUAAGCUUUGAUGCUGCUUCUAGAAUGGCUUUGAAUAAAAGAGGUGGACAAAACUGCUCAAUGGACAACACAGCUA
Molecule: non-coding RNA, 441 nt
Organism: Phascolarctos cinereus (koala)
Lineage: Eukaryota; Metazoa; Chordata; Mammalia; Diprotodontia; Phascolarctidae
Source: RefSeq, a predicted model, not a curated record